This 354-nucleotide unclassified non-coding RNA is filed under the name soil metagenome. Its description in RNAcentral is "partial contains 5.8S ribosomal RNA, internal transcribed spacer 2, and large subunit ribosomal RNA". The stretch from base 1 to 120 matches the Rfam family "5.8S ribosomal RNA", at positions 35 to 154 of the family's 154-position model. The record is from RNAcentral.
GAUGAAGAACGUAGUGAAAUGCGAUAAGUAAUGUGAAUUGCAGAAUUCAGUGAAUCAUCGAAUCUUUGAACGCACAUUGCGCCCAUUAGUAUUCUAGUGGGCAUGCCUGUUCGAGCGUCAUUAAGUCCACUUAAGCCCUGCUUAGUGUUGGGAGACUGCUCCAGCGGUGCUACCCUGUAGCUACCCUGCAGCUCCUCAAAGACAGCGGCGGAGUUGUGGUAUCCUCUGAGCUUAGUAACUUGUUCUAGCUUUCGAGUACACCACUUCCCCUGCCGUAAAACCCUUAAUUUUUAAUGGUUGACCUCGGAUCAGGUAGGAAUACCCGCUGAACUUAAGCAUAUCAAUAAGCGGAGA